CUAACACAUGCAAGUCGAGGGGUAGAGGGUGCUUGCACCCUUGAAGACCGGCGCACGGGUGCGUAACGCGUAUGCAACCUACCUAUUGCAGGGGAAUAGCCCAGGGAAACUUGGAUUAAUGCCCCAUAGUCCAUAUUGAUAGCAUUUGAUAUAUGGUAAAGAUUCAUCGGCAAUAGAUGGGCAUGCGUCCUAUUAGCUAGUUGGUGUGGUAACGGCACACCAAGGCUACGAUAGGUAGGGGCCCUGAGAGGGGGAUCCCCCACACUGGUACUGAGACACGGACCAGACUCCUACGGGAGGCAGCAGUGAGGAAUAUUGGACAAUGGGCGGGAGCCUGAUCCAGCCAUGCCGCGUGCAGGAAGACUGCCCUAUGGGUUGUAAACUGCUUUUUUACGGGAAGAAACACCCCCACGUGUGGGGGCUUGACGGUACCGUACGAAUAA
RNAcentral lists this ribosomal RNA (443 nucleotides) under Bacteroidetes bacterium BAL241. RNAcentral's name for it is "bacterial SSU rRNA". It matches the Rfam family "Bacterial small subunit ribosomal RNA", at positions 48 to 489 of the family's 1533-position model. Lineage: Bacteria; Pseudomonadati; Bacteroidota. The record is from RNAcentral.